This 460-nucleotide ribosomal RNA is filed under the name uncultured bacterium. RNAcentral's name for it is "partial 16S ribosomal RNA". It matches the Rfam family "Bacterial small subunit ribosomal RNA", at positions 338 to 795 of the family's 1533-position model. The record is from RNAcentral.
CCUACGGGAGGCAGCAGUGAGGAAUAUUGGUCAAUGGGCGUAAGCCUGAACCAGCCAAGCCGCGUGAGGGAUGAAGGUUCUAUGGAUCGUAAACCUCUUUUAUACGGGAAUAAAGUGCGGGACGUGUCCCGGUUUGUAUGUACCUUACGAAUAAGGAUCGGCUAACUCCGUGCCAGCAGCCGCGGUAAUACGGAGGAUCCGAGCGUUAUCCGGAUUUAUUGGGUUUAAAGGGUGCGUAGGCGGCCUUUUAAGUCAGCGGUGAAAGUUCGUGGCUCAACCAUAGAAUUGCCGUUGAAACUGGGGGGCUAGAGUAUGUUUGAGGCAGGCGGAAUGCGUGGUGUAGCGGUGAAAUGCUUAGAGAUCACGCAGAACCCCGAUGGCGAAGGCAGCCUACCAAGCCAUGACUGACGCUGAGGCACGAAAGCGUGGGGAUCAAACAGGAUUAGAUACCCCUGUAGUC